UGCGCCGCCAGGGACUCGAACCCCGGACCCGCUGAUUAAGAGUCAGCUGCUCUAACCAACUGAGCUAGCGGCGC
This 74-nucleotide transfer RNA is filed under the name Streptomyces noursei. RNAcentral's name for it is "tRNA-Lys". Lineage: Bacteria; Bacillati; Actinomycetota; Actinomycetes; Kitasatosporales; Streptomycetaceae. The record is from RNAcentral. RNAcentral also lists the same sequence under 2 other names.